GACGAACGCUGGCGGCGUGCUUAACACAUGCAAGUCGAACGGAGCUAUUUAUUUCGGUAGAUAGCUUAGUGGCAAACGGGUGAGUAACGCGUAGGCAACCUGCCCUCAGGAUGGGGACAACGGCUCGAAAGAGCCGCUAAUACCGAAUGACGUAACUCUUCCACAUGGAAGAGAUACUAAAGAUGGGUCAAACCAUCGCCUAAGGAUGGGCCUGCGUCUGAUUAGCCAGUUGGUGAGGUAACGGCUCACCAAAGCGACGAUCAGUAGCCGGUCUGAGAGGAUGAACGGCCACAAUGGGACUUAGACACGGCCCAUACUCCUACGGGAGGCAGCAGUGGGGAAUCUUCCGCAAUGGGCGAAAUCCUGACGGAGCAACGCCGCGUGAGUGAAGAAGGUCUUCGGAUCGUAAAGCUCUGUUGUCGGGGACGAAAGAGUAGACGAGGAAAUGCGUCUACUAAGGCG
This 462-nucleotide ribosomal RNA is filed under the name Veillonellaceae bacterium oral taxon 155. RNAcentral's name for it is "bacterial SSU rRNA". It matches the Rfam family "Bacterial small subunit ribosomal RNA", at positions 28 to 474 of the family's 1533-position model. Lineage: Bacteria; Bacillati; Bacillota; Negativicutes; Veillonellales; Veillonellaceae. The record is from RNAcentral.